UACAGAGGUCUCAAGCGUUGUUCGGAUUCAUUGGGUUUAAAGGGUGCGUAGGCGGGCUUAUAAGUCAGCGGUGAAAUCUCUCGGCUUAACCGAGAAACUGCCGUUGAUACUGUAGGUCUAGAGUACAGAUGAUGUUGGCGGAAUAUGACAUGUAGCGGUGAAAUGCUUAGAUAUGUCAUAGAACACCGAUUGCGAAGGCAGCUGACAAAACUGUAACUGACGCUGAGGCACGAAAGUGCGGGGAUCAAACAGG
Molecule: ribosomal RNA, 253 nt
Filed under: uncultured bacterium
Lineage: Bacteria
Description: partial 16S ribosomal RNA
Rfam family: Bacterial small subunit ribosomal RNA
Source: RNAcentral